GCGUGGAUGACAGGGUCAUCCCGACGUCGGAACUAAGCGACGACCUUAGAAGGAGUGGAGGCCGGGCCUGUCAUCUUCCUGCGGGCCUGGCAGCAGCGUGGGGCGGUGGACCCAAUCUAAUCAUCAGCUCCUGAAAAGUGGAAAACCUUUUCCAACUGGUGAGAGGGAGACGUGACAGUGAAGGCUCAGAGGGAGAUGCACUAUUGCUGGCCUUGAAGAUUGAGGAUGGAGUCGAGAGCUAAGGAAUGAACAGGACCUCCAGAAGCUAGAAAAGCCUGCUUAUUCCACUUCAAGGUCAGAGGUGACCAGAGUCCAUCCCAGGAGCUCAGAGCACAAGGUGGGAAUCAACCCUGGACAGGGCACCAUUCCUUCCCUGGCACAAUCACACUUAAACCCACUCUUACACUGGGACCACAUAGACACACCAAUGAACCUCGUGUGCACAGCUUUGGGAUGUACAAGGAAUCCGGAGUGCCUGGAGAAAACCUGCGCAGACAUGCGGAGACAGUAAACUCACACAGACGGUUACCCCAGCUGGGAAUCUAUUUUUUCUCUUAUCACUGUUGUAAUGCAACAACAUUGAAUGAAACAACAUUAUUUGAGGAUCUGCCAGAAGGGUUCUGAGUGGAGAGAAUGGAGGAGAAUCUCUUCAGAGAGCUUAAAGAAUAACUCAUCACAAGGUUCACAGGCAGCCACUCCUGAGGUUCCAUUGUGAAACACUAUCAUUUCAUUGGCUCCUUUUAUUUAAAAUAAUUAUAGGGGUGAAAUUCAGAUAACAUAAAAUUAAGCAUUUUGAAGUGAACAAUUCGGUAGCAUUUAGUAAUUCACAAUGCUAUGCCACCUCCUCCUCUAUCUAGUUCCACAUAAAAUUUGGAACUAGAUAAAUUAGUUCCUCCGAAAUAAAAUUCCAUACCCAUCAGCAGUUUCUCCUCAUUUUCCCCUUUCCGCAUCCUCUGGCAACCCCAGCCUGUGUUCGGUCUCUAUGGAUUUAGCUAUUCUAAAUAUUUCGGGUACAUGGGACCAAACAAUACGUGACCUUUUGUGUCUGGCUUCUUUCAUGUAGCAGAAUGCCUUCAAGGUUCGCCCACAUCAUAGUGUGUGUUAGUACUUCCAUUUUAUGGCUGAAAUAUAUUCCAUCGUAUGUUUAU
Molecule: long non-coding RNA, 1148 nt
Organism: Pan troglodytes (chimpanzee)
Lineage: Eukaryota; Metazoa; Chordata; Mammalia; Primates; Hominidae
Exons: 3
Source: RefSeq, a predicted model, not a curated record